RNA transcript from Astyanax mexicanus (Mexican tetra), 4289 nucleotides. It is a transcript of the gene named SON DNA and RNA binding protein, with no coding region annotated. The transcript has 11 exons. NCBI's taxonomy places the organism in Eukaryota, Metazoa, Chordata, Actinopteri, Characiformes, Acestrorhamphidae. The record is from RefSeq and is a predicted model, not a curated record.
CCCGGAUGUUGUGGGGGGGAUCAUUGAGGAAGCGGAGCGGAGAGGCGGACUGUGAUGGCGACCAACAUCGAGCAGAUAUUCCGGGAUUUUGUGAUGAAUAAAAUAAAGCAGAUCGAGGAUGAGAGUCAGGAUAAGAGUCAAAGUGGCCAAGCUGCUUCUAAUGAUGCAGAGUCUCCCUGUGAGAUGGGAACAGGAAUAAAUAACAAAGCACCUCCUGCUGAAACAUGCAGUAAAACAACAGAUAAACUCACAAAUCCCUGCUCCCAGGAGAACAGUGCCAAAGAGGAAUCCAGCGCUAAACACAAGAAAAGCAAAAAGCACAAAAAACACAAAAGCAAAAAGAAGAAAAAGAAACGCAAGGAGGAGAAGGAGAGCAGCUCAGAGUCUGAAUCAGACCUAGAAAAUCAAGGAAGUGUAAAGAAGAAGAAGAAAAAGAAAAAGAAGAAACAUAAGGAAAGUGACAAAGAAAAAAAGUCUCGCUCGCGUUCUGGGAGCUCUUCUGCAUCUGAAUCAGAGUCUGAGUAUGAACCUAAACCUUCAAGUGAGACCACCAAGUCUGAACUUGGAAAUGGAAGUCAUUUCAAGGUUUCUCAAGAUUUACCUGACAUUAUUCCAAAGCUUGAAACCACAGCUGAUAAGAACAAAGGGAGCGAACGAGACAGCGAAAGAAAACAAAGCUCCAGUUGUUCUAAAACCUCCAAACAGGAGAAAAAGACAGAAAGAAACCGGCGCUCCCGUUCUAGAUCAAGCAAAAGAAAAUCAAGACACAGGUCUAGAUCCUGGUCGCCCAGACGAUCCCAGAGGAGAUCAAAGUCAAAGUCUCGUUCCAGGAAGAGUCCCAAAAGGAAGUCUCCACAGCAUAGACGGCGAAGUAGAUCCAGGUCAGGAUCACAAAGACGCAGCAGCAGACGGUCCAGAUCUCGCUCAGCCAAAAGAAGCAGACAUUCAAGGUCCAGAUCAAGGUCUAGGUCUAAGCGAAGUAGAUCAAGGCAAACCAAAACUGCCUUAAAGAAGAGCAGGAGAUCUCGGUCAAAAUCUAGAUCAGCUUCAGAUCAUCGAUCAGGGAAUUCAAAGUCUAGAUCUCAAACACAGGCUAGACGUAGUACGUCAAGGUCUCGGUCAAAGUCUAGGUCUUCUUCGAAAGAUAAAUCAACAAAGAGCGAGAUGCAAAAGAAAGACAUUGUUCCAGAAUUAAAGAGUAAGAUUAGCUCUGAAAUAGAAACUGAAAAAGAAAGCAUUGAUAAAGAUCAAAGCCAGACACUACUGUUAAACUCCAUGUUAAAGACUAUAAAGGAUGUUAAAGAUGCCACUAUCAGUGACGGACAGGUUAAGGGAUCAUGGCGACCAGUUCCUUUCUUGGAUGUCAGCUCUUCUGCUACUGUUCUAACUUCUUCGUCUUCUGAGACAAAGCCUUUACUGAAGUGCAUUACACCUGAGCUGCCUUUCAAUGUAAAGGAUAUUUCUGCACAUACCUCAGAUAAGGCUAUUAAGUUGGAGUCUGUCCUCAAAACUGAAAAACAAGAAGAAAUUACCAGUACAGAAUUAAAAGGUUCACAAGUUAAACAUUCCAAGUCUCGUUCAGAGUCCUCCUCACCAUCUCCUCAAAGGAGCUCAAAAUCUGCCUCAAGAAAACGGUCCAGUUCCAGAUCUCCAGUAAAACGAAGGCGUUCCAGGUCGUCCUCCAGGAACAGCAAGACAAAAUCAAAGUCAUCUCCUUCACGAAGGAAAAGAUCUAAGUCUAGAACGCGGGGUAGGCAUUCCAAAUCCAAGUCGCCAAAAAGCAAACGAUCGAAGUCCCGUUCACCAGAUCGAAGGAAGCGGUCCCGGUCCCCAGACAGGAGGUCAAGAUCGAGACGCAGAUCACGCUCUCGGUCACGGAGAUCUAGAUCUAGAUCCCGGCGAAGAGGAGGAGGAGGUUUCAGGAACCGAAUGUUUAGUCAGCGCGAUCGGUGGAAGCGAGAACCGAGCCACUCUCCUGUUCUCAUCCUGCGGAAGAAAAGAUCGACUUCUCGAACUUGUCGCAGCACCAGCAAGACACCACCACGCCUUACUGAGCUCGAUAAAGACCAGUUGCUGGAAAUUGCCAAGGCCAAUGCGGCGGCCAUGUGUGCCAAGGCUGGGAUGCCUAUUCCAGAAAGCCUGAGGCCCAGAACCAUCCUUCAGCUGCCAUUGCCAAGUCCAAACCCCACACCCCUGUCCUUACCCCUGCCGCUGCCCGUUAAUCUCCCCAUGUCUAACAUGACCAUGAAUGCUGCUAUGGCUAGCAUGACUGCUGCCACCAUGACUGCUGCUCUGUCCAGCAUGGGAGCUCUUGCUAACAUGCCACAGUUGGCCCCGUUGCCCACAAUCACCAACAAGCCUCCACCUUCGGCCACACCGAACCUGGCUUCUAUUGAGGAAGCUAAGAGAAAAGUGACUAAGCAGGCCAACAGCUACAGUAUUAAAGAGCUCACAGAGAAAUGCAAGAAGAUUGCAGAGAGUAAAGAGGAGAUGGCCAUCGCUAAGCCACAUGUGUCGGAUGAUGAAGAAGAUGAAAAGCCUUUUGGAGGAGUUGCCCUUAAGGAGAAAGGGGGCAUCACUUUCAGUCUCUGUAACCCCUCAGUGAAGCCAGCAGUGAGAUCAGAGGCUGCCUUCGCCAAGGAGUUCCCAGUAUCUUCAGGUUCCCAGCACCGCAAGAAGGAGGGAGAUGGGGCGUACGGGGAAUGGGUUCCGGUGGACAAGAAGAUUGAUAAGGCGGGGUCUUCUUCAGGAUCUGCUGGGGCUGAAGAUCAGAGUAAGGAUAAUGAUAGUGUCUUUCCAGAGGCACCAUCACAGCCGGUGGACAUUACCCUGGCUGUCAGUGAAAGGGCAGUGGCCCAGAAGAGACUGGCAGAGAACCCUUUCGACAUCAACGCCAUGUGUAUGCUGAAUCGUGCUCAGGAGCAGGUGGAUGCUUGGGCCCAGUCUAACACAAUCCCUGGUCUUUUCACUGGCUCCACCGGUGCUCAGGUGCUUUCAUCUGAAGAGCUGUCCAACAGUGGCCCACAGGCUUGGAUCAAGAAGCAGGUGCAAUGCAGGAGGGGAGGUUGACUAUAGUCUACUUAGAAAAUCUUCUUUGAAAGAGGGGAUGAAGGAAGAGGACUUGAAGUCUCCUGGCAACCUCCUCUUGGUUGAGAAUGGAAACUCAAAAUGGGGUCAGUCCUUGUAGCUGCCUUGUUGCCAUGGUCACUGUCAGGCCCCUUCUAUUCUCGUCAGAUGCAGAGCGGAUGAUGGGGGCCUAGGUACGUACGUCAUCCAGCACCCUCUUUCUAUUCAUGUGGAUUUUGUGUCCGCUCUGAUAAACGCUUUCUGCCAUGCUCUUCUGUGUGUUUCAGCUGAACCAAGGGUAUUGAUACCUUGGCAAAGGUGGUAUUUUGAUGCCUUAUCAAUGGAAAACUGUAUAAUUUUUAGUAUAGACAUAAUUUUAAAAAUACUGAUCUUUUUUCCACAUACUUUACUAUAAUUAUAAACUGUUCAAGCAUAACAUUAUGACCACCUCUUUUAUUUUAUUUUAUAACCUAUUCAUUUAACCUUUUCAUUUUAUAACCUAUCCUCCACUGUUCAUAUUGGACAACAUGUAGUUCUAUUAUAAUUACUGACUGUAUUCCUGUAUAUGUUUCUCUGCAUGCUUUAUUAUCCUCCUCCUUUCACCCUGUUCUUCAAUACUCAGGACCCCACAGCUAUUAUUUUUUGGGUGGUGGGUCGUUAUUCUCAGCACUGGAGUGGCACUGACACAGCAGUGCUGCUGGAGUUCUUGAACAGUGUCACUACUGGCUGAGAAUAGCUCCCCAACAGUGUCUUGUGGGCAGUGAUUAAGAACUAGAGAAUUGAGAACAUUAAGAACUUAUGAUCAAAACUGUAAAAUGUGCAGCAGCAGAUUCAGAUCUUCUGUCUCGGAUUUUACUUUAUCUACAAGGUGUUUCAGCUGUAGGUAGGAGUGUGUAAUAGUGUGGAGGACAGAGAGAGAGAUUAAACACAGUAUUUUUUGGGAUUCUGAGUUUUGAAGAACAGGGUAAAAGGAGGAUAAUAAUAAAGUAUGUAGAGAAACAUAAAGACUGUAAAGUGAAACUAUAUGAAAAACCAGGAGUUGGUCAUAAUGUUAUGCUUGUUCCGUGUACAACUACUUGUUUCAUAGUACUUUUAUCAUUUUAGUUUAUAUUUAUUUGUGCAAUUAAACAAUGCACAAUAUACUUCCUACACUACGUAUCUACUUAUAGUAUUAUCUACUGAGAAAUUAUAUCUAGGGUAUUAAACAAUUAUAUUUCCUGUUU